AUUGAACGCUGGCGGCAGGCCUAACACAUGCAAGUCGAGCGAGCGGCGGACGGGUGAGUAAUGUCUGGGAAACUGCCUGAUGGAGGGGGAUAACUACUGGAAACGGUAGCUAAUACCGCAUACCAUCAGAUGUGCCCAGAUGGGAUUAGCUAGUAGGUGGGGUAACGGCUCACCUAGGCGACGAUCCCGCGCUGGUCUGAGAGGAUGACCAGCCACCCUGUAAUUGAGAUGCGGUCCAUACUCCUACGGUAGGCAGCAGUGGGGGAUAUUGCACAAUGGGCGCAAGCCUGAUGCAGCCAUGCCGCGUGUGUGAAGAAGGCCUUCGGGUUGUAAAGCACUUUCAGCGGGGAGGCGUUACCCGCAGAAGAAGUACCGGCUAACUCCGUGCCAGCCGCCGCGGUAAUUC
RNAcentral lists this ribosomal RNA (406 nucleotides) under uncultured bacterium. RNAcentral's name for it is "partial 16S ribosomal RNA". It matches the Rfam family "Bacterial small subunit ribosomal RNA", at positions 30 to 526 of the family's 1533-position model. The record is from RNAcentral.